GUGCUUGCUGCAGCAGUACAUAUACUAAAAUUGGAAUGAUACAGAGAAGAUUAGCAUGG
RNAcentral lists this small nuclear RNA (59 nucleotides) under Notamacropus eugenii (tammar wallaby). Lineage: Eukaryota; Metazoa; Chordata; Mammalia; Diprotodontia; Macropodidae. The record is from RNAcentral.